UGGGGGAUGGUGUAAUUGGCAACACAUUUGGUUUUGGUCCAAACGUUGAGGGUUCGAGUCCUUCUCCCCCAGCUA
Molecule: transfer RNA, 75 nt
Filed under: Actinomycetota bacterium
Lineage: Bacteria; Bacillati; Actinomycetota
Description: tRNA-Gln
Rfam family: tRNA
About the family: Transfer RNA (tRNA) molecules are approximately 80 nucleotides in length. Their secondary structure includes four short double-helical elements and three loops (D, anti-codon, and T loops). Further hydrogen bonds mediate the characteristic L-shaped molecular structure. tRNAs have two regions of fundamental functional importance: the anti-codon, which is responsible for specific mRNA codon recognition, and the 3' end, to which the tRNAs corresponding amino acid is attached (by aminoacyl-tRNA synthetases). tRNAs cope with the degeneracy of the genetic code in two manners: having more than one tRNA (with a specific anti-codon) for a particular amino acid; and 'wobble' base-pairing, i.e. permitting non-standard base-pairing at the 3rd anti-codon position.
Source: RNAcentral